CACUCUGGAGAGAGAUGCAAUGCAUCCGCCGAAGGGAUAACGAUCUCAGGCAAAAGGACAGAGGGGG
RNAcentral lists this non-coding RNA (67 nucleotides) under marine eukaryotic metagenome. RNAcentral describes it as "Glycine riboswitch". It matches the Rfam family "Glycine riboswitch aptamer", at positions 7 to 90 of the family's 94-position model. From Rfam's summary of the family: This family represents the bacterial glycine riboswitch. Glycine riboswitches usually consist of two metabolite-binding aptamers domains with similar structures in tandem. The aptamers cooperatively bind glycine to regulate the expression of downstream genes. The record is from RNAcentral.